RNAcentral lists this ribosomal RNA (371 nucleotides) under uncultured organism. Its description in RNAcentral is "bacterial SSU rRNA". It matches the Rfam family "Bacterial small subunit ribosomal RNA", at positions 526 to 896 of the family's 1533-position model. The record is from RNAcentral.
CAGAGAGUGCGAACGUUGUUCGGAAUUACUGGGCUUAAAGCGCACGUAGGCGGCAUCGUAAGUGUCUGGUGAAAUCCCACGGCUCACCCGUGGAACUGCCAGGCAUACUGUGAUGCUCGAGUGUGGUAGGGGAGAGCGGAACUCCUGGUGGAGCGGUGAAAUGCGUAGAUAUCAGGAGGAACACCGGUGGCGAAGGCGGCUCUCUGGUCCACAACUGACGCUGAGGUGCGAAAGCUAGGGGAGCAAACGGGAUUAGAUACCCCGGUAGUCCUAGCUGUAAACGAUGGGCACUAGCUUGGGGUCUCCCUGUGUGAUCCCAGGUGUAGCAAAAGUGAUAAGUGCCCCGCCUGGGGAGUAUGGUCGCAAGGCUG